UCUUUAACUUUUAAUUUAUUGAAAUUAUUUAUAGAUGUCUACUAUAGAAUGAAUAAAUAAGGAAUGAGAUGCGAAUAAGAAAAUAACUCCCUCUACUAAAUUUAUUGGAGAAUGAAGUGAGGAAUAAAGGUAAAAUUUUUAAUGGGGUAGGAGAAUGAGGUAGGCCUUCGCACCCGAUGUCAUUCCUAUCCAAAGCAAGAAAACAACCCGCUGCACCUGCAGGAUAGCCUCUUCCGUUGCAUACAAAGAUCUUUGAGAGUCUCAAAAAAUGUGCCAAGGGGCGAUUUAAUGAAGUUGCUCGUCAGGAUAAAAGACACUGCUUCUCACCCCAUGCUAAAUUGAUUCAGCAUAAAAUUUUCCAAAUCUUUGCAAUAUAAUGGCCAUGUCAUCCCAUUGCUCAGCAUCAAAAGCUCCUCUAGGUCUAAACAAUGAUCAUGGUCAUCCGUAUGUAGCAUUUCCCUCGUAUACUAAAUUCUGUACAUCCAAAUUGUUGUUGUGCGCGGAAUACGGAAUUAAGCGCACCAAAUAAUUACAAAAAAAUAAAGAACACAAGAAUUACGUGGUUUGGCAAUAUGCCUAUGUCCACGGGAGCAAGAGAAAAAUAAUUGUAUUAUUAACAAUUAUUUGAGUACAAAUUCGAGUAAAGAAAUCUCACUUUCCCAGAACCCAAAUACACCAAGUACUCUCACAUACACUCUCCAAUUGCUCACACUCUCAUAACUCUCAAAAACUUAAAAACUAAGAAACUUAAUAAAUU
Molecule: long non-coding RNA, 757 nt
Filed under: Citrus sinensis (sweet orange)
Lineage: Eukaryota; Viridiplantae; Streptophyta; Magnoliopsida; Sapindales; Rutaceae
Description: long non-coding RNA (CSIN_LNC003807)
Source: RNAcentral